This 896-nucleotide ribosomal RNA is filed under the name Bacillus pumilus. RNAcentral's name for it is "bacterial SSU rRNA". It matches the Rfam family "Bacterial small subunit ribosomal RNA", at positions 59 to 936 of the family's 1533-position model. Lineage: Bacteria; Bacillati; Bacillota; Bacilli; Caryophanales; Bacillaceae. The record is from RNAcentral.
AAGUCGAGCGGACAGAAGGGAGCUUGCUCCCGGAUGUUAGCGGCGGACGGGUGAGUAACACGUGGGUAACCUGCCUGUAAGACUGGGAUAACUCCGGGAAACCGGAGCUAAUACCGGAUAGUUCCUUGAACCGCAUGGUUCAAGGAUGAAAGACGGUUUCGGCUGUCACUUACAGAUGGACCCGCGGCGCAUUAGCUAGUUGGUGGGGUAAUGGCUCACCAAGGCGACGAUGCGUAGCCGACCUGAGAGGGUGAUCGGCCACACUGGGACUGAGACACGGCCCAGACUCCUACGGGAGGCAGCAGUAGGGAAUCUUCCGCAAUGGACGAAAGUCUGACGGAGCAACGCCGCGUGAGUGAUGAAGGUUUUCGGAUCGUAAAGCUCUGUUGUUAGGGAAGAACAAGUGCGAGAGUAACUGCUCGCACCUUGACGGUACCUAACCAGAAAGCCACGGCUAACUACGUGCCAGCAGCCGCGGUAAUACGUAGGUGGCAAGCGUUGUCCGGAAUUAUUGGGCGUAAAGGGCUCGCAGGCGGUUUCUUAAGUCUGAUGUGAAAGCCCCCGGCUCAACCGGGGAGGGUCAUUGGAAACUGGGAAACUUGAGUGCAGAAGAGGAGAGUGGAAUUCCACGUGUAGCGGUGAAAUGCGUAGAGAUGUGGAGGAACACCAGUGGCGAAGGCGACUCUCUGGUCUGUAACUGACGCUGAGGAGCGAAAGCGUGGGGAGCGAACAGGAUUAGAUACCCUGGUAGUCCACGCCGUAAACGAUGAGUGCUAAGUGUUAGGGGGUUUCCGCCCCCUUAGUGCUGCAGCUAACGCAUUAAGCACUCCGCCUGGGGAGUACGGUCGCAAGACUGAAACUCAAAGGAAUUGACGGGGGCCCGCACAAGCGGUGGA